CAGCGUGAGAUCGUGAUCAAAAACCAUCCAAAACAAGACAGAACGCCGAUUCAGAGAGCAUUAGGGGUACGGUUUGUAGAAUACUACAAGCGUGAUUGACUUAGCUGCACAAAACAAAGGAAAAGAUUCUUAUAUAAACUAUUAGAGUUCAAGUUUCUGAUGAAUUUAGUUCCACAAGUAUCUGAGUCUCCGGGUCUGGAUUCAACUUUGUUGGGCACUCGGGGUUACAAUCUGAAGGGGGAUCUUUGAGCCAAAAUGAAGCUGCGAUAACAGUGAAACUGAGACUCACCAGAAAUAGAAUAACAAGAGUAAGAUGGAGUAUUAGGGCCACAAUAAGACAAAAAAAAAUUAAGACUUUGAGAUUAAAAUCAUUAUGUACGAGAAUAAAGUCAUAAUAAAAUCAUUACGAGAAUGAAGUUGUACAGUAAAUGAAGCAAAGCUGCUUUUGAGGGAUUUAGCCUCUGCACAUCCAUUUCCAGCCAUUUCCCCCUCUUAAAAAAACAGCGAUAGGUGUCAUCAGGUAAAAGGAGUUUUACCCUGACAAUUCUGUGACAAAUUAGAGUUGGUUUGGAGAGCGACACGCGGUUACCUCUUGAGCUUUAAACCUUUAAUUCCUGACUACAGAGAAACGGCCAAAAUGUGCAGAUUUACUCCAAGAGUGACAACGUCUUCCUGCAUCUCUGUUCUGCUCUCUGUUCUGUUUCCUCACUGUUAGAUGGAUUUUCUUCAGCCAAUCCCGUCAGCUUUUAGAGUGGUGGAGCCAUGCAACUCAAAUACCAGGGAUGCGUUGGUGUUAGAUUGCUGGAGCCGGGGGCCUCCGACAACCAUCCUCAACCCAAAAUAUGUUCUGCUGUGGUAUUCCCCUCUAUGGACUUUCCAUACGUUCACCUAAGGUCCUUAAAAUAUGUUGUCCUUUGUUUUUACCUUACAUGGACUCUUCUUCAGGUCAACUAAAUGCCAGCAGAAUGUUUGGAAAUGUGGACAGCCGUAUAUACUUGAACAGUCUCAGACCAAUCUUUGUUGAAGCUGUAACCCAGAUCUGCAACCAGUAAAGUUUGUCAAACUGACCAUUCGUGUGGACCUUCCAUUCUUUCAGGUGUGAACCUGGGCGAGGCUUCCUUACAUUCGUAAGAAAAGGCCCCCAAAGAAAUCUUUUAUUCAUAUUCCAAAAUGGACUCCUCUGAGUAUACGUCAGCUCGGUCACUGGUAAAUCUCCCUUUAUAGAGCCACUCUGGGUCAAAUACCUGACUCUCUUUUCUCCCUCUGAGUUUUUAUAUGUUGGAUGAUGUGCAGUUUUUCAUUGAACUGAGAUGGUAGAAGCAUUUUUGGUAUUUUGCCCCUUUUUCCUGAAGUUAUAGAAGAUGGAUCCGAACCCUCCUCGUACACGGUAAGACAGAUCCUGGACAGUAUCAGCAAAAGUGUGAGGCCUUCAUAGAUUUGAAGUUAUCUGUGGCUCUUUCUGAAUAUUGUGCCAAACUAUUUUCUGGACUUGGAUUUUGGCAACCCUGUUUGUUGCACCCGUCCUCCUCGGCCUCUUCAUUUGUCCAUGAAGACAGUUAAACCGAUAAAAAACUGUGAUCACUUCAUUAUCUCUGGAGUCUCUUUCCUCGUUUUAAUGUUCCAGCUGGUUUGUGUUGUGAUGCUGGUAAAUAUACACACACACUCACAAACCUCCACACUGGGUUCAUCAGCCUGAAGUUUAACAGUUUAUUAGACAGAAGAGUGAAACUCGCAGGUCUCACUCGUAGAAACAAAAACCUUUUGUCCUCUGUUCCUUCACUUCCUGUUGUGUUUUGGCGGCAGACUGUCAGGAGUCGCAGAUCCAUCAGCUCGAGGUCGUCGGCCCGGUUUGGACCAGCUGUCUGAAGGAAAGUAGACAAACAAGAGACGAGGAACUGCUUCACUCCCACACAUCUCUGAUUGCGUGAAAAUAGUUAAAUCUCUGAUGGGAGAGGUCCUGCCAAAAAGGAUGAAGAUGACACUUUAGCAGAAGAAGAUGACGCU
RNAcentral lists this long non-coding RNA (2004 nucleotides) under Xyrichtys novacula (pearly razorfish). Lineage: Eukaryota; Metazoa; Chordata; Actinopteri; Labriformes; Labridae. The record is from RNAcentral.